GCAUGAUGUAUUCCUCCUCCCUCCCAGAUUUGCGCUGAUCAGCUGUAUGGCGGCACAAGCCUAGAGGGAGGGGGUGGCCCCCAUCACUCACCCUGCGAACUGCUCCAAUCCAGCUUCUCCAGGAAGGCUCUGAUCCUGCAAGCUACUGGGUUUGAGGAGAUCCACACACCUAUGCGGAGCAGCUUGCAGGAUCAAACAUCCCUUUCGAUAGAGGAGGUUGAAGGACAGCUGCAGAAGAGGAAGCCCAAAGUGCAUUAGAUGUCAGACUACAUGGAAGACAAACUCUGUCGUUUGUCUGAAUGAGUUCAAACUCCCUUUCUUCUCAUUGCCAUGUGAGUCAGUUUCAGAAACGAAAGCAACUUUGAUUCAAAGCACCAAGACGCUCACAAGAAAAUGAAACUUUUCUCCCAAUAUCCAGUCAAUUGGUGCAAUGGAAAAGCUGUAAAAUGUUAAGAGUUAAAAGUAAACAACAAGUUGUGGACUAGAGAAAGAGACGGACUGACAGAGACUGAAAUGGCUUUUUGAUUGCAUAGCACUAAAUAAAGCGAACCCAGUAAACUUUCCUCCUGAAGAAACCAGAAACAUGUCUGUUAUAGCUCAUUUCCCUCCCUAUAUUUCUUGGCUGCAAACUAAGGAUUUGAUCCAAGAAUUACCAGUGACUUCAUUGAGAGAAGGAUCAGGUCCCAGAUGUUGUCCAUACGCUUGCAGCAGAGGGAAAAACCAAACAAAACAAAGGUCCUGAAAUUCUAUAUCUGAAACAAACCACAUAGUUAUAAAAUCAUAGUCAUUCAAUCACAGAAUUUUCUGUUUUGGUUUUGUUUUCUAAGCCAUAUUUAAAUGAGUGCCACAAUGCUAUCCCUGCAGACUGAAGAUCUCUCUGUAUUCAUGAACCCAUUAUGCAACAGCAGCAGGCCAAGCCUAGAGAUGUGAAGGGAGCUCAUCUUCCAGGCCUGUCUGCUGAGAUUGCCACAAAAAGAUCAGUUUCAGUGUGGCCAACCCCAGACAUUUGCAGGUCAUCAGUCAAUGCCCCCAAUAUCAGCUAUGGCUUGAAAACUGAUAAAUUUCAAUGAUAAAAUAAUAAAAAGAACCCAUUUAUUAUUAUUAUUAUUAUUAUUAUUAUUAUUAUUUAUUAAUUUGCCUUAUGGUUUUUGAACUGCAGGGUUCAUGUUUUCAAGCUUUUCCCCGUAAAUGAUGCUCACAAAGCACAACAGGAAAGAAAAAGAGGAGGAGCAGCUUAUGCUCACAUGUCUGAUUGCAUUGCAAGAAUGAUGCUACUGUCAUGUUACCAUUUAGGUCCAAACUGCUCCCACUGCAUAGCAGAAUGUUCCAUUUGCAAUGGAAUAUGUAAAGGGGACUGCAGCUGCUUUUUGUCUCUGGCUUUGUGCACCUACAGGCAUGACAUGCACUGAUUCCACAACUGCUGGUCAAGAUCUCAUGGUUGCACCAAUUGUUCCCACUGAGCAAAUGGUGUUCACACACACACA
This is a long non-coding RNA of Gopherus evgoodei (Goodes thornscrub tortoise), 1484 nucleotides long. RefSeq lists it as uncharacterized. The transcript is spliced from 3 exons. The record is from RefSeq and is a predicted model, not a curated record. NCBI's taxonomy places the organism in Eukaryota, Metazoa, Chordata, Testudines, Testudinidae.